CAGGGCGUACAGGUACACCCUGUUCCCUUACGAGGUUAAUGAUGAAUCGGUAUGUAGAAUAAAAGAAAACAUCAUUGCAAUGAACUUCAGACUAUGAAAAGGACGCACAGCACUGUACGGAGAAGCCAUGGAUGCCUGCAAGUGAAUAAGGAGGUUACACUUGUAAUGCAGAGAGCUCUCUCCCUCCAGACUUCUAUGAGUAUAUACAGUUGCUGCUUUUUACAGAUAAAGUGCUCUUGAAAACUUUACAAGUCCCUGUGCAGACUGAGGUCUCGAUAUCCUGAGAUGACUCUUCAAAUCAAUGAAGAUAAUUUAGUAUUAUUAAAUUCAAGACUGGAAACAUUCGGUAAAACACAGCAGCCUUUUAUCUUUCAGCUUGAUUAAAAAAAUAUGAGUCGAUUUUGUUUCAUCUGCAUAGCUUCUUCCCCCGCUUUUAAAGUGGAACUAAACAGAAAAUAUAAUGUGCACAGCCCAAAACUGCUGUGACUGUGUGUUACAAUCCGUGACAUUCCUCAAGUCUAGCAAGAGCUCCCUGUACAUGCAACAUUCUCCUACACUUUAAAGAAGAAGGACAUGGACUAAAAUAAAAUCAAAAUAUGAUGUAUUUCAGUUGCAUGCAAGUGGCUACGGAAUCUGUCAUUGGACAAGAGUUGAAAGCUGAGCAUCAAGAUAUUUCAAAUUUGGAAUGAUGAGGUCACCAUAUGAUCAGAUGCCCAUUGCCCCUUGCUGGAUGUGUUCUGCAGGAUUUCUGAAGACAAUAACUAAUAAAACCUGUUUCUUCAUGUGCUGGGAACCUCUGAAACAAGCUCACAGCGCAGAUAAGUUUAUAGCACCAUAAAACUGGCUCAAUGAAAUAUUUAAUCAGUGUGAUUGAGCCAAUAAUAAGAAAACAAGUGUGUGAAUAUAUCAAAGAAACCAAAUCCUUCUAAUAUCACAAUGUUAAGAAAGGAAAACAUUUUAAUGAAAUUUGCAUAAUCUAUGAUGAAUCGUGAAGCUCACUAACACAGCUGUAUUGUCGGGCUGGUUCUUCCUUUACAUUUUUUUGCUGAUAAAAAUGGGAAAUGUCUUCAAGAAUGCAAUUUGGAACUUGUAGUACACACCUUAAAAAGGUAAAUACAGGAGCCCCCUUUAUCUGAUAUGGGGAUCAUUGGUUGAUUUCAGGAUUUCAGAGACCGGAAGAAGCGUUAGUGAAACAGGCUGUCGUCUCUAUCUCCCCCACCCUUCCCCCGCACGCCACUACCCUCCCGCUGCACCGCUAAUACAUGAUGAGGAAUUGUGUCCUUUGAACUGGAUGGUUGCACAGUAUCUUCUUCAAUAAAGAAAGAAGCCCAAAACGUGACAUGAGGCGGAAUGUUUUUAUACUACAUUGCCUAUUUAACUGUGAAAUAUGUAUACAGAAUAAGAAUACUGAUACCCGACUGCUGCAACUGGAGUCCUUGAGGAAAUAAAAGAAUCAGUACACAAUGGAUUUUACUGGAAGAGAAAUUUCUCGUCAACCGCAGAAGAACACCUGCUUGUGUGUCCAUAUACACCCUGUUCCAAAUUAUUAUGCAAAUGAUAUGUUUCUUAUUUACCUAAAUAAUUUAUGUAAAUAACAGUCAGCAUAAUUCUCAUGUUAUCAACUAUUAAGAGUACAAAUCAAAUUGUAUUGAACAAACUUCCUAAUGAUAACAGUAUUUUUUUAAACAUAAAAA
Molecule: long non-coding RNA, 1694 nt
Organism: Hyla sarda
Lineage: Eukaryota; Metazoa; Chordata; Amphibia; Anura; Hylidae
Exons: 4
Source: RefSeq, a predicted model, not a curated record